AAAAACAUGUCUGUGUGAAUUAGUUAUAAAGUCUAGCCUGCCCACUGAUUUUUUAAAGGGCCGCGGUAAUUUGACCGUGCGAAGGUAGCAUAGUCAGUAGUCUUUUAAUUGGAGGCUUGAAUGAAAGGUUGGACGAGGGACGAGCUGUCUCCUUUACGUUUUUGAAUUUAACUUUUGAGUGAAAAGGCUUAAAUUAUUUAGUGGGACGAUAAGACCCUAUAAAACUUAAUAUAAGUUUUGCUUGAUUUAUGAUGUGUGUGAAAAGUAGUUUUGUUUGGUUUAUAUUUUGUUGGGGAGAUAUAGAUAUAAUUUGUAACUGUCUAUUUAAUUUAAUAGUUAUUGUUAGUGUGUGAUCCUUCUUUGUGGAUUAAAAGAAUAAGUUACUUUAGGGAUAACAGCGUGAUUUUCUUUGAGAGUUCUUAUCGACAAGAGUAGUUGCGACCUCGAUGUUGAAUUAAAGUUUCAGCUAGGUGUAGCCGUUUAGCUGGUAGGUCUGUUCGACCUUUAAAAUUUUACAUGAUCUGAG
RNAcentral lists this ribosomal RNA (526 nucleotides) under Macrobrachium neglectum. Its description in RNAcentral is "partial large subunit ribosomal RNA". It matches the Rfam family "Bacterial large subunit ribosomal RNA", at positions 1811 to 2609 of the family's 2925-position model. The record is from RNAcentral. Lineage: Eukaryota; Metazoa; Arthropoda; Malacostraca; Decapoda; Palaemonidae.